Molecule: non-coding RNA, 3834 nt
Organism: Hydra vulgaris (swiftwater hydra)
Lineage: Eukaryota; Metazoa; Cnidaria; Hydrozoa; Anthoathecata; Hydridae
Source: RefSeq, a predicted model, not a curated record
UAUUAUUUUUGUUAUUCACAUAUUUUCAAUUAUUAUUAUUGUUUUUUGUCUUUUUUGGUUGUUAGGUUUGGUUUUAACUGUUUGUAACUGUCCUUUAAAUAUUGUCCAGUGAAAUAAUGAAUUGUAAAUUUAACAAAUUAGUUGUCUAUCUUAACAUUUUUUAAUUAGAGAUUGAUUUUAAGACACCUUUGUCAUAUAUAUAGGUAAUAUGUUGUUUUGUAUAUUGGAAAAGUAUAUUAAUCAGUGGAGAAAAAUAAUAGCAGAGGUUAACGAUUUCAUAAGAGAGACAAGCAGUUCUAAUAGUUGUUGUAGUCAGGAAGAUAACUGUUUUUAUCUGAUACUUGUCUUGAAAAAGGGGACAAUGAAGAUUCUGUAUCUAUCACAUCAUCCAGAAGUGAUUCACUCAGAUUGUAUUCUAGUUCUUCAGAAUCAAUUUCUGACAUUGAAGAAGAAAUUAGUAGUCUACCUACUUUGAAUGAACAGCUUUCAUCAUGGGCUACUAGAAACAAAUGUAGGCAAGACUGUGUUAAUGAGAUUUUGAAUAUUUUAAAACAAAAUGGUCACUCUACCCUUCCCAAAGAUUAUCGCACUCUUCUUUAAACUCCAAAAUCUACAUCAUGGGUUGAGAAAUGCGGUGGUACAUAUGCUUACUUUGGGAUUGAAAGUGGAACUAUGAAAACAAUUUUUAACAAUAUUUUAUUUUUAAACCAAAAUAAAGACAUUGAUUUAAUAAUUAAUAUUGAUGAUCUUUCCCUUUUUAAGUCUUCAAAUUUACAGAUGUGGCCUAUUUUAGCUAAAUUUGAUAAGUAUGAUGUAUUUAUUGUGGCACUUUGUUGUGGAAGCUCAAAGCCGACAUCUUUAAAUGACUAUUUGCAUGAUUUUAAAAUGGAAGUUAUUAAUCUUUUACAAAAUGGAUUUAAUUUUAACGAUAAAAAAAUAAAAGCAUUUCUUAAGUCAAUUGUAAAUCAUUCGGCAUACUAUUCAUACGAAAGAUGCGUGAUAAAAGGAUCUUGGAGUGGGAGAACUGUUUUUAAUUCUAAUGCUAUACACAAGAUUCGUGCAAAUCUGAAAUUUUUUGCCAUUGGUUAUCCGGAUCAUCAGAAAGCCUCAACACUUUUGAUAGAUUGUGGCGUAAACUGUGCAACAGAUUUUUUUCUUGACUACAUGCAUUUGAUAUGCUUGGGGGUUGUGAAGCGCGUAAUAAAGUUUUUUAAAAGUGGUCCUUGACAUAGUAAAUUAUAAUUUGGGGAAAUAUCGCAGAUAUCUAAAAAACUGAGCUACGUGGGCAUCUACCAAAAGAGUUUGCUCGCCAACCUAGGAAUUGUUAGAAAUGGAUAGAUGGAAAGCUACAGAAAACAGACAAUUUCUUCUCUAUACUGGUCCUUUAAUUUUAAAAGAUAUUAUAUCACCAUCCAUUUAUAAGCAUUUUCUUUCUCUCAGCAUUGGAAUAAGUAAAAUGUUGGAUUCAAAUAACGAAAGAAGAUCAAAGCAUCUUGAUUACAGUAAGAAGUUGUCAAAUUAUUUUGUUAGUAAUGCUUCUUUAAUAUAUGGAGAUACAUUUGUUGUUUACAAUGUUCAUGGGCGCAUUUAUUUGAAUAAAGAUGUUAGCAACUUCAAUUGUUCUCUCAAUGAUGUGUUAUGUUUUAAAUUUUAAAACUACAUGGAAAAACUCGAAGGUUAUGUUAGAAAAGCUAGCAAUCCUGUUGUGCAAGUGACAAAUAGACUAGCAGAAUUUGAUAAAAUAAAAGAUAAAUGCUAUUUUAAACAGAGGUUCUUCACUACAAUCUCAACUAGAUCAAAGGAUAAUUGUUUUCUGUUGACAAACAAAAACGUUGCUUUUAUUAGAGAAAUAAAAAAUUGUGGAAAAUAUGUAUGUGAUGUGGUAAAAAUUUGUGAUAUAGAUUAUAUAUUUACCUCACCAGCAGAAUAAAAAAUAUUUCAGAUUGGUGUUGCUCAUAGUUUUACUAGAACAAUAAGAAGAAUUGUGGAAAGACAUGAACUUUAAAGAAAAGUUGUGUCACUUCCAUACAAAAGAGGUUAUGGUCUAUUCCCAAUGCUUCAUGAUGCUGAAUAGUAAUAGCGCAAUGGUUUAUCUUUGGUACAUAGCUCAAACUAAUAAAUAAUUUAUCAACAGUUUAUAGUUUAAAAUGUUCAAAUUCUUUUUUCUUUUUUUUUUGAUUCUAUGUAAAAUUUAUAAUUUUUUUCUGGAACUGCAAAAAAUGGAUGCGUGCAGUUUGGUUAGAGGGAAGCACCGAGAAAGAGGGAGUCAUACCGAGCGCUUGGGUAGUUGAAAACCUUUUAUUAGAGAGACCAACCAACAAAUGAUUGGCUAAAAUUUAAGUUGUUGAAAAUCAAAUUUUCAUCAGGUAGACUUGCUUAUUUAUUUAUUUUUUGGGUAAAUAAUUCAUCUUUCCAUUUUAGAGUUAAUUAAUUUAAAUUACUUAAUUUAUAAAGAAAAGACUUAUGAAUAUAAGUAUUUUGUUUGAAAUUGAGAUUCGAAUAGAGUGGAAGAAAAUUGUUGUUGUGUUUAAAAAUCUGUAUAGGUGAUAAAAAUCUUUGUGAAGAAUAUGAGUUUACUACUGAAAUAACUGAUAAUGUUCAAGAAUUUUCCAGACAUCAAAUUAAAUAAUGGAUUCAUAUAUUUCAAAAAGCAUUUUACAUAUCUACUUAUAAAUCAUAUUUUACAUUAUUUUAUUGUAGAAAAAAGAUCUGUUGUAAAAACUCCUUCCCCGCCACCUUUGAAAAAAAAUCGGUCACAUAAAAAAAGGAUAAUUAUACAAAAUAAAAAUAACAAGAGAGACUUAUGUUCACCAACAUCUUCACCUGAUAUGAUUUUGUCCAGUAGAGAUAAUACUCUGUGUCAGAAAAGUUAACUUAAUUCUAAUUAAAUAUUUUAUAUUUGUCAUUUAUCGAUUCUUAUAACUGAUUAUAUAUUAUAUAUUUAUUUUAUCAUUAGGGUUCCAAAAAUCAACACACUCAAAGAAUAUAUCAGGUACUUCUGGUUUGCAAAGUAAAAAGAGGUAUUCUAGGUCACCACCAAAUUGCAGUGAAUCAUUUUCUUCUUCAGCUGAUCUGGCAAUGUCAAGUGUAGGUGGCAGAAAGGAGUAUCCAAUGUCAGAAAAAGGGUUCCAGAAAAAAGUUGUCUUCUUUUUGAAAGAAAUGACCAAAAAUCAGAAGCAAGUGCCAGAUUAGAGUUAGAUGUAGAAUUGAUUCAGCGCCAAAAUAUGGCAGAGUUUCAAGCUUUAGAGGAAGAAUUAUUAGACAUUGAGUUUAAACAAAAAUUUUUUAGUAAUUGUUUUAUUUACAACAAAGUUUUCCAUAUGGUGGAAUCUUCAACACAAAAUUCACCAAGUUUAAUAAUAAGUUAGAAGAAUUGCUAAAGUUGGUGGUGUGAAUGUAAAAGAAAACAUUGCAAACGUUUUAAACAUAUUUUGUCACUGUCAAAUGCUGAUGAAUAAUCAUCUGAUGAGUGAUUUCAAUAUGAAGGGUAAGCAUGGAAAGCAACCCUUUGGUGUUACUUGCCUUUAUAAAAUUAUAAAAACAAAUGCUCUUAAUUUAAACAAUUGCAAUCAGAAGGAUGUCGACGAUGCUAUUUCAAAGUACCUUAAGCAUGCGCCAAAGAGAAAAGAUGGACGUAAAUUCACCGAAAAAAAUGUUUUAUAACGAUAUUUUGAAAUGUUUAUGUAACGUAUUUGUUUAUAAAUGUAUUAAAAUACAGUUAUAUUUUUAAUCAGUAUAUAUUUCUUUAAAUUUAUUUUAUUUUUAGUAUGGUUUGUUGUUAAUAUAACUCCAAAGUAUAGUUUAAAAUAGAGAUAUCAUAACGACUUAUAAGUC